UCCACUAUAAUGUCUGAUAGAAUCACUUUUCCUUUCUCCAUUAUUGACCUCACUUCUUAUCUUUCACUCGUACAAGACAAGAAACUAUUUAAUACUACAGAGUACUACUUCCAAGGCAACUUCAUACUUGUGGAUUUAAGCAAAAAGCUUGCAAACUCAUACGGGAAGUAACACUGGUAUGAACGGCUUACUUGACUAAGACAGCUUAGGUAAUUGUUAGUUCGUUAAGAUAUUUAUCUAAAUUAUACUAUUAUGUAUGAACAAUUCUCCUUCCAAGUGUUCUGCAGUAUAUUGACUGUAUUAAUCUGAAUCUAUAGUUUAAAAAAGAGAUGCCUGAUCUUGAGUCGUUUUCUUGUUGCUGAUAUAGAAAGAUUUCACUAUAAUUUUAAAGAAAGAAAAUGCUAAUUUAUGUUAGAACACAAAACUGGAAAAUAAAGAUUGCACAGAAUCCUUCCUAAUUUCUGAUUUAUAUGAAGCUUCAGUGCAGUCAUCUUGUCAAUGUCUCUGUGGGACAAAUAUAUAUAUAUAUAUAUAUAUCAUCACCCACAAGUAAGCAGUUGCAGGGUGCUAAGCUCAAAUUGGGACUAAACCACUGGUAUCAAAGCAUAAGGUACAAGACAUACUGAUCAUCAAUAUCAUCUAAUAAUGCCUUGGAGAUGAAAGAGUUAAGUAUACUGUUAAUCAAUCAUCGAGCAUCUAGUAUAGAUAGAGUCAUUUUAUUUGUUGAAGAAGAUACAUGCUUGUCUGAUGAAGAAUCUUCUUCAAGUGGACUUUUUUGAAACAAAAAACCAGGUUGUUUGGGGUGUAGCAAAUCAAUUUCAAUUCCCAACAUCAGAAUCACAGAUGACAUACUUGGCUUAUCCUCAGGAUGCUGUUGUACACAAAAAAGACUAAUAUGGAUGCAUCGUAUCACUUGUGAUAGAUUGCAAAGCUCUCCUAAGCAUUCUUCAACAUGUUCUGAAGCACUGCCUUCUUUUCAUAAUCUCCAUGCUUGCAGCAAAUUGAAUCCCUUUUAGGUUUUAUCAAUCCAAGAUAAGCAAAAAAAAAUUUUGAUUAUAAUAAAUUUGCUGAAACUGACAUGUUCAACAAGGUUGCCGCUCUGUGUUGGAUGGUAAAGCCUUCUAUUUUUGUUCCCUUUUAUAAUCUCCAGCAAUAAUAUACCAAAGCUAAAGACAUCUAAUUUUACUCAAAACAAUCCUUCAAUAGCAUAUUCUGGUGCCUUAUAACCACUACUGCAGAACAUCAUCAAAAGCAAUAAAAAUAUGAGGAUUUGUAGACAUUAUGAAAAUAAAGUGACACUAAGUUUCAACCACUCUUUUAGUGUUACCUUGUUAGAGUUAAAGCAUGCAUUGACUUUAUCAUUUUGUUUAUUAUGUAUUUUGCUUCAUUGUACUGGUUGUUAAGUGUUGUACACUAGUGUUUAUGAGGGGUCUUUGUCCAUGGUUAGCUUUACAACACUUGUCUCUUAUGUUAAUAGGUGUUAAUCUUGUAUAGCUUGUAUAAAUAUUUUGGUCAUAGUUGAAUACAGUGUGUGUGAAUAUUAGCAAAUUCCUCUCUGUUUUUUUUCCUCUCCAUACCAGAGCAGUAUAUGAUCUCAUCUGCUCUAUUAUAGUUUCAUUCUUCUUUCACAGUUUCUUUACAUGGUAUCAGAGCAAACAACUGAUCUUUGUGCCUGUUAAAGCUCCCUCUUACUCAUCAAAAGCUCAUUCUUCGGCAAAAUGUCAGCCUCAACUGUCACACAGCAAACCGUACCCAUUUUCAAUGGCUCUAACUAUCCUGUUUGGGCCAUUAGAAUGAAAGCAUUCCUGAAAGGUGUCAAUCUAUGGAAUGCACAGAAUGAAGAAGUUUAGCCCUUGCAAAGAGCCUUGUGUUUGAUGGCAAUUCGGUUCUUUCUUAUUAGCCCGUUCAGAUUACCUUAAGAAAGGAAGGCGAAAUGAGAAAUUAAACCAAAAAAGACAAAAGAAAAAGUUAAAUUGUUGAAGAAAUAAGAAUUGUGAUUACAUUUCUGUUCCAGCACGGAACCUUGAGAUUCAUCAAUUCUGUCCUACUUAUCGGUAUGAUUAUUAGUUAAGACCACUGAAACCAUUCUAUAAAUCUCAACUCUUAUUGCAGAUAAAGAAAACUAUCUUCAAAACUGGC
RNAcentral lists this long non-coding RNA (2139 nucleotides) under Theobroma cacao (cacao). Its description in RNAcentral is "long non-coding RNA (TCAC_LNC004226)". The record is from RNAcentral. Lineage: Eukaryota; Viridiplantae; Streptophyta; Magnoliopsida; Malvales; Malvaceae.